GAUGAAGAACGCAGCGAAAUGCGAUAAGUAAUGUGAAUUGCAGAAUUCAGUGAAUCAUCGAAUCUUUGAACGCACAUUGCGCCCGCCAGUAUUCUGGCGGGCAUGCCUGUUCGAGCGUCAUUUCAACCAUCAAGCCCCCGGCUUGUGUUGGGGACAUGCGGCUGCCGCAGGCCCUGAAAACCAGUGGCGGGCUCGCUAGUCACUCCGAGCGUAGUAAUACAUCUCGCUCAGGGCGUGCUGCGGGUUCCGGCCGUUAAAAAGCCUUAUUUACCCAAGGUUGACCUCGGAUCAGGUAGGAAGACCAGCUGAACUUAAGCAUAUCAAUAAGCGGAGGA
Molecule: unclassified non-coding RNA, 335 nt
Filed under: soil metagenome
Description: partial contains 5.8S ribosomal RNA, internal transcribed spacer 2, and large subunit ribosomal RNA
Rfam family: 5.8S ribosomal RNA (bases 1-120)
Source: RNAcentral